Molecule: long non-coding RNA, 318 nt
Organism: Penaeus indicus
Lineage: Eukaryota; Metazoa; Arthropoda; Malacostraca; Decapoda; Penaeidae
Exons: 3
Source: RefSeq, a predicted model, not a curated record
CUUUACCACCUAGUGUCAAGAUAAGAUUCUGUGGUCGUGAGUUUGUGUCCGUUCGUGCUCGGUAAAGGUCGUGUUUAUAGUUAAUAGGAAACAGAGAUGAUGAAGCCUCUUCCGGUGAUUCUGUUCAGCAUUUUCUUCACGAGGUUCCCCUGCGCUCAUGGACUCCACCUUGCCUCCGACCGUGCUUGUGAUCACCAGCAGCCCUCUGAAUUUCAAAAGGCAAGAAUUGUUGCUAUGAUGAAUGCCUACUAUAAGAAGCAGCUCACUUACUUUGCCAUCUUCUUCGAAGCCAAUGAAAUAGGUGAAAAUAUAGGUAUG